RNAcentral lists this transfer RNA (68 nucleotides) under Fenusa (Kaliofenusa) sp. 3 GYN-2022b. Its description in RNAcentral is "tRNA-Cys". Lineage: Eukaryota; Metazoa; Arthropoda; Insecta; Hymenoptera; Tenthredinidae. The record is from RNAcentral.
AAUUUUGUAGUUAAAUUUAUAACAUUAGAUUGCAAGUCUAACAUUGUAUUUCAUAAAUAUUAAAAUUU